RNAcentral lists this ribosomal RNA (497 nucleotides) under uncultured bacterium. RNAcentral's name for it is "partial 16S ribosomal RNA". It matches the Rfam family "Bacterial small subunit ribosomal RNA", at positions 28 to 507 of the family's 1533-position model. The record is from RNAcentral.
GAUGAACGCUGGCGGCGUGCCUAAUACAUGCAAGUCGAGCGAACAGACGAGGAGCUUGCUCCUCUGACGUUAGCGGCGGACGUGUGAGUAACACGUGGAUAACCUACCUAUAAGACUGGGAUAACUUCGGGAAACCGGAGCUAAUACCGGAUAAUAUAUUGAACCGCAUGGUUCAAUAGUGAAAGACGGUUUUGCUGUCACUUAUAGAUGGAUCCGCGCCGCAUUAGCUAGUUGGUAAGGUAACGGCUUACCAAGGCAACGAUGCGUAGCCGACCUGAGAGGGUGAUCGGCCACACUGGAACGGAGACACGGUCCAGACUCCUACGGGAGGCAGCAGUAGGGAAUCUUCCGCAAUGGGCGAAAGCCUGACGGAGCAACGCCGCGUGAGUGAUGAAGGUCUUCGGAUCGUAAAACUCUGUUAUUAGGGAAGAACAAAUGUGUAAGUAACUAUGCACGUCUUGACGGUACCUAAUCAGAAAGCCACGGCUAACUACGUG